UUUGAUGGCGACCGGCGCACGGGUGAGUAACACGUAUCCAACCUGCCGAUGACUCGGGGAUAGCCUUUCGAAAGAAAGAUUAAUACCCGAUGGCAUAGUUCUUCCGCAUGGUAGAACUAUUAAAGAAUUUCGGUCAUCGAUGGGGAUGCGUUCCAUUAGGUUGUUGGCGGGGUAACGGCCCACCAAGCCUUCGAUGGAUAGGGGUUCUGAGAGGAAGGUCCCCCACAUUGGAACUGAGACACGGUCCAAACUCCUACGGGAGGCAGCAUG
Molecule: ribosomal RNA, 270 nt
Filed under: uncultured bacterium
Lineage: Bacteria
Description: partial 16S ribosomal RNA
Rfam family: Bacterial small subunit ribosomal RNA
Source: RNAcentral